RNAcentral lists this non-coding RNA (24 nucleotides) under Arabidopsis thaliana (thale cress). The record is from RNAcentral. Lineage: Eukaryota; Viridiplantae; Streptophyta; Magnoliopsida; Brassicales; Brassicaceae.
UAAAGUAUUACGAUUUUGGGUCUC